Ostrinia nubilalis (European corn borer) is the source of this 474-nucleotide long non-coding RNA. RefSeq lists it as uncharacterized. The record is from RefSeq and is a predicted model, not a curated record. Lineage: Eukaryota; Metazoa; Arthropoda; Insecta; Lepidoptera; Crambidae. The transcript is spliced from 4 exons.
GACGCACUUGCCUACAUUCGUAACCCCACCUAUCAGUUAGACCCAUCGGAGUCAUCCGAUGGAUUUUCUUACGGGAACUAUACCCUACAAUGUGAUUGUUCGCACAUACCUAAAAAAGUCACGACUACCGCCCCCACAACACCGCCACCAGUACAAUUCGGCCCUCGUCACCCCAUGGCGAAAUUCUGCGGCAAAAAAGACUGCAGUCAAAAGCCGUAAACGCCGCAUGGUAGGACGAGCAAUUUCGACGACACUAAGCAUUUGAAUGGAUUUGGAGGAUGUGAAAUCAGGAUAUUAUAUUUUUUUAUUAUGGGUGAGGUGCUUAUGAAGUGCUGUGAUCUGUACACAGAUAAUUGAUAGACUGAAAAGAAUGCUAGGGCAUACCCUAGCAUUAACCUUACCUAACCUUAAACACCAUAGUGUUUCUUAAAAAGGUGGUGGUGGUAAAUUGGAUAGUGAACAGGGAAAAUAAUU